RNAcentral lists this ribosomal RNA (138 nucleotides) under uncultured eukaryote. RNAcentral's name for it is "partial 18S ribosomal RNA". It matches the Rfam family "Eukaryotic small subunit ribosomal RNA", at positions 1299 to 1458 of the family's 1831-position model. The record is from RNAcentral.
UGGUGGAGUGAUUUGUCUGGUUAAUUGCGAUAACGAACGAGACCUUAACCUGCUAAAUAGUCAGGCCAGCUUCGGCUGGUCGCAGGCUUCUUAGAGGGACUAUCGGCUUCAAGCCGAUGGAAGUUUGAGGCAAUAACA